RNAcentral lists this ribosomal RNA (127 nucleotides) under uncultured bacterium. Its description in RNAcentral is "partial 16S ribosomal RNA". The record is from RNAcentral.
AGCCGGUGCUUCUUUUGUUAGGUACCGUCAUUAUCUUCCCUACUGAAAGUGCUUUACAACCCGCAGGCCUUCUUCACACACGCGGCAUUGCUGGAUCAGGCUUUCGCCCAUUGUCCAAUAUUCCCCA